Trachemys scripta elegans is the source of this 688-nucleotide long non-coding RNA. RefSeq lists it as uncharacterized. The transcript has 3 exons. NCBI's taxonomy places the organism in Eukaryota, Metazoa, Chordata, Testudines, Emydidae. The record is from RefSeq and is a predicted model, not a curated record.
AAUAUGGUAACCCUAACCUGGUCCCUUCUGUAGAACAUACCUUAUCGCAGCGGAUUCCACGUGUGACCUGCAAUGUGUAAAAGAAUGAAACAGGGAGCGUGAGUACAGGAGCAGCCAUCCAAAGGAGUCCAAACUAGAUGAUUACCCCUUCUGGCCUUAACAUCAAUGAUGCUAUGAAUCUGUGGCUUGCCGAAAAUGAGCCGUGUUCAGGUGUGGGAGUUGAAAUCAGUGCUACGUGCCAUUCUGUGUGGGACUCUCAGUGUGACCUUGAGAAGGUCAGUCUGUUCCACACGCUGCAUUGCCAAGAAGGGAUGAUGAAAGAGCCAUCAACUUUGAAUGACACGUGAGGACUGGCCCGCCUCAGGGGACACAGGAUUCCUUCAUGUCGGACUCGCAUGCCGAAUUUUGCAGUCUGGGCACAUGGCAAACAGCACCAGAGAGAGGGGAUGCUCUCUGAAAAUGUGGGGGCUAUCCUCCACCACAUGUCAGAAGCCCAGCUGGAGGGAGGGAGGGAGGGAGAGAGAGAGAGAGAGUAAGAGGGACUCUGCCUGAAAAGCUGACCAGACCUUUGACUCACAGAAGGGGUCAGAUCGGACAGGGGAAGUGUGCCUUGGGACUGUUGGUUGUUUUGCAAAGAUCUGUAACUCUCUUGUGCUUUCCUGAAAGUAAAAGUGACAUGUGUUCCUUA